Molecule: ribosomal RNA, 757 nt
Filed under: uncultured bacterium
Lineage: Bacteria
Description: bacterial SSU rRNA
Rfam family: Bacterial small subunit ribosomal RNA
Source: RNAcentral
AGAGUUUGAUCAUGGCUCAGAAUCAACGCUGGCGGCGUGCCUAACACAUGCAAGUCGCACGAGAAAAGUGGAGCAAUCCAUGAGUAAAGUGGCGCACGGGUGAGUAACACGUGAAUCAUCUACCUCCGAGUGGGGAAUAACCUAGAGAAAUCUGGGCUAAUACCGCAUAACACUUACGAGUCAAAGCAGCAAUGCACUUGGAGAGGAGUUCGCGGCCGAUUAGCUAGUUGGCGGGGUAAUGGCCCACCAAGGCGAUGAUCGGUAUCCGGCCUGAGAGGGCGCACGGACACACUGGAACUGAAACACGGUCCAGACUCCUACGGGAGGCAGCAGUGGGGAAUUUUGCGCAAUGGGGGAAACCCUGACGCAGCAACGCCGCGUGGAGGAUGAAAUCCCUUGGGAUGUAAACUCCUUUCGAUAGGGAAGAUAAUGACGGUACCUAUAGAAGAAGCCCCGGCUAACUUCGUGCCAGCAGCCGCGGUAAUACGAGGGGGGCAAGCGUUGUUCGGAAUUAUUGGGCGUAAAGGGUGCGUAGGCGGUUUGACAAGUCUGAUGUGAAAUCUAUGGGCUCAACCCAUAGUCUGCAUCGGAAACUGUCGGGCUUGAGUAUGGGAGAGGUGGGUGGAAUUUCCGGUGUAGCGGUGAAAUGCGUAGAUAUCGGAAGGAACACCUGUGGCGAAAGCGGCUCACUGGACCAUUACUGACGCUGAGGCACGAAAGCUAGGGGAGCAAACAGGAUUAGAUACCCUAGUAGUCC